GUGUGACUUAGUUUAUUUAGAACUGCCAACUUGCACUUGGCUAGAGAGGCUCCUCAGUGAC
This 61-nucleotide transfer RNA is filed under the name Megascolecidae sp. MPL-2014. RNAcentral's name for it is "tRNA-Ala". Lineage: Eukaryota; Metazoa; Annelida; Clitellata; Crassiclitellata; Megascolecidae. The record is from RNAcentral.